GUUAAAUCGACUUCACUAAUGAGCGGACACUUCAGUAUUAAUUUAUGCAAAGUGGUUGUUUUAAAGUUCAAAAGAUGUGUUGCUCUUAAUUUUCUUAAAGAUGGAAAUGACUUGAAGAAGAUCUCAAUGGUGGAUUCAAGAUGUAACCUUGGACACUUUGAAAUAUCCACCUCCUCAACUGCUUCAAAAGAGAGAGUUGAUGGCAACCCAUGCAAGAUUCCACUUCCACAUUGAUCUCUGCUGGUGCUCAGACGUUCAAGGUUGAUCAAAGACUGUCUAAUGCUUUUCCUCAACAUGAGGUCCACACGAUAUGAAGAAGGAAGCAAAGAGAGGAGAAGAAUCACUGAUGUUAUUUGUGGACAACCUGAAAGGUUCACUUUCUUAGAAUAUUCUGUCACCCGUAUCCUUAGAUGAUCCAAGUCACCAUCUUCAAAGACACCAAUUGAGUCUGCAGGUGGAAUCUUCAGCAGUCUAAAUAUUGUAUCAAUGCUUUCCUCAGCAAGCUCUGUAAAAUAGCAUGAUCUUCUUUUUCCUGCAGCAAACCACAACGGCAAAAGACUAAUCCGGAUCUGUUUUAAAAUGCCAGUGCAGUCAUCUUCAACUUUGCCAAAAG
Molecule: unclassified non-coding RNA, 613 nt
Filed under: Hevea brasiliensis (rubber tree)
Lineage: Eukaryota; Viridiplantae; Streptophyta; Magnoliopsida; Malpighiales; Euphorbiaceae
Source: RNAcentral